UCUAAUAUGGCAGAAUAGUGCAAUAGAUUUAAGCUCUAUAUACAAAGAAGAAUAACUUUUAUUAGAA
This 67-nucleotide transfer RNA is filed under the name Proscopia sp. HS-2014. RNAcentral describes it as "tRNA-Leu". The record is from RNAcentral. Lineage: Eukaryota; Metazoa; Arthropoda; Insecta; Orthoptera; Proscopiidae.